Molecule: long non-coding RNA, 2141 nt
Organism: Mercenaria mercenaria
Lineage: Eukaryota; Metazoa; Mollusca; Bivalvia; Venerida; Veneridae
Exons: 4
Source: RefSeq, a predicted model, not a curated record
GUUGAAAUAUAUAUCUGAUAGCUGACACAUAGGAGAAUGCUUUGGUUUAUAUUCAUCUUACAGAUUUUUUUGAAAAUGAAGAGAAACAGGGGGAAUUCUGUAAAUUUCUUCUUAUAUGCAAAUGAGCUGAAAAUGUAUUGAAAUGACUAGAUCAGAAGUUUAUGCCUUUCCAGUAAGUUUUUCCCUACCUUUGACGAUAGUUAUUAAAAAGUAUAGAUAUCAACCUGUUUGCUGAUAUUAGUACCUAAAAUUUUCAGCCUGUGAAUAGCUGUGGAAAGUUGGGACUUCCUUUUUUGAAGAUAUAAAUAGAUCUAAGCUAUAUUUAGACUAAAGUUUUUUCAGUAUAACAGCAUGUAGAGAACCCUUACAUACAGUCAAAUAUUCUUGAUAUUGCAAGGAAAUAUAAUGCAUUUUCAAGUGCUUGCUGUUUCUUAUGUUGUGCAUACUUGAUAUAGGUCAUUGUCAAUGUCCACUAUCAUUAUACUGACAUUUGAAGUUGUUGUUUUUUUCUAAAUUACCUCCCUUAUAUAUGCAUUUUUCUUCAUUCAUUUUAUUGAUAAUUACCUCCCUUUAUGUUUAGCAAAAAUUCUCAGAUUGCAUUUAAUUAACUCCCUUUAUUUAACAUGAAAAAUUCUCUUGUGUAAUGAUUAUUUGUAUAUUUUACUUACAGUGUCUGAUACAUGUAGUUGCAGUCUGUCUUUGGAAGCUGUAGAAAUAACAAGAAAGAGGCUGACAUAGUGUUUUGGUAGGGAAAAGUUUGAGUAUGUACAAGUACAGUUGUUUGACCUGUCUUACCCUGUGGCAGUCCAAGAAGAUGUUAAUAUUAUGAAAAAUGCAGGAGAACUUGAAGACAAUUGUUAGUGCAGAAGGGACAUAAAAGUUAUGACAAAAGAAACAGAUAUAAAUAAGAAGUGCUACAAGUGUGUUGUCAUGUGAAAUGGAAUUUACCCCAACAGUGCUGCAAGAUGUAUAUUCAAGUGCAAGACAGCCAUGCACCAGCUGUAAACUGAGAUGGACCCAUAUAAUAAAUAUGACUUUUUAAGUUUCAUAGUAUUUGUGGUGGAGACUGACCCAGUCAUUCAGCAACUUAUACUGUCUGUGUGUCAUUUCUUGUAUGUUAUAGUUUUCUUAAUAAUACAUUAAAUGUCAAAGUUAUGGUAAGAUGAACUCAUUUAUCACUUGUAGAUUAAUGUUAAAGCAGUUCAACAUUUUACCAUAAGUUAACUAAUAUUCUAUUUAACCAGAGUUGUCACAUAUUUUCAUAUAAAUAUUUGUAUAAUACAGUCUAAUCUAAUCUACAUAUGAUGUUCCACAAUUUUUUAGUUAUAUUUUAUGUUGAUAUUUUAUGUUGUUUUCAUGUCUCAACAUAUAAUUACUAACAUCAAAGAAACUUAAGUAUUUUAAAAUUUGGUUGGUAUAAAUGGUUGUUUUGUUUAUAUAUUUUAUUUUUUUCCAUCCAGGAGAAUAAAGAAAUGUACAUUUCAAAAUAUCUCAUCAUUCCAGAUAAGUACACUACAUAAUCAAGAUAAAAGAAAUAAGAACAAAAUAUGUUGGUGGAAUUUUAUUUUCAAAAAUUUGAUAUACAGUCUUUGUAGUAUUUACUUCUUUAGAUAUGUUGGACUGAAAUGGGAAUAACAACAUACUUUAAAUUUUUGUAGUCAUAAGUUAAUAUGGGAAUUAUUAACUUAACUUAAAACGAUUUUAUCUCACUGUUAUGCCAUCUGAGCUUUAAUAUUUUUCAACAUUGUCAUUGGCAACAAGGCUCAAAAUUAUUUGUUGUGUAUACCUUGCAUUCAUGUGUGAUAAAUGCUUUUAUGGUAUUCUUUAAUAUAAUUUAUGCUUUUCAUCUUACCAUAGAUUAAAAAAAUAUAUAUUUACUUGUCUGAAAAUUAAGGUAAAAAUACUGACUAAAUAAAUUGCAAUAUAAGAAAGCUUAUUUGAGAUAAAGGGAGGUAAUUCCAUAAAAAAAUAUGUGGAAUGUAGAUGAUAAAUGAAAUGAAGGGAGGUAAUAAAAUAUUGUGAAGUUAUUAGUCUUCAUUUCUUUGAUGAGCUAAUUAAUUGUUUUACAUUUUGGUUUAUUAACUACAAGUAUGACCUAACAUGUGUACCUGUCCUGAAGGAAAAUAAAAUAGGUUGUUUGA